GAUGAACGCUGGCGGCGUGCCUAAUACAUGCAAGUCGAGCGAACGGACGAGAAGCUUGCUGCUCUGAUGUUAGCGGCGGCCGGGUGAGGAACACGAGGAUAACCAACCUAUAAGACUGGGAUAACUACGGGAAGCCGGUGCUAAUACCGGAUAAUAUUUUGAACCGCACGGAUGAAAAGUGAAGGACGGUCUUGGUGUCGCUGGUGGAUGGACCCGCGCUGCAUUAGCUAGUUGGUAUGGUAACGGCUUACCAAGGCAACGAUGCGUAGCCGACCUGAGAGGGUGUUCGCCCACACUGGAAGUGAGAGACGCUCCAGACUCCUCCGGGGGGCAGCAGUGGGGAGUCUUCCGCACUGGGCGAAAGCCUGACGGAGCAACGCCGCGUGAGUGAUGAAGGGCUUCGGGUCGUAAAACUCUGUUAUUAGGGAAGAACAGAUGUGUAAGGUACGGUGCACAGCUGGACGUUACCGAAUCAGAAGGCCCCGCCUACUACGUG
RNAcentral lists this ribosomal RNA (496 nucleotides) under uncultured bacterium. Its description in RNAcentral is "partial 16S ribosomal RNA". It matches the Rfam family "Bacterial small subunit ribosomal RNA", at positions 28 to 507 of the family's 1533-position model. The record is from RNAcentral.